This 88-nucleotide transfer RNA is filed under the name Deltaproteobacteria bacterium. RNAcentral describes it as "tRNA-Ser". It matches the Rfam family "tRNA". From Rfam's summary of the family: Transfer RNA (tRNA) molecules are approximately 80 nucleotides in length. Lineage: Bacteria; Pseudomonadati; Myxococcota; Myxococcia. The record is from RNAcentral.
GGAGGGAUGGCCGAGUGGUUUAAGGCGGCGGUCUUGAAAACCGCUUCUCCGAAAGGAGACGUGGGUUCGAAUCCUACUCCCUCCGCCA